This 328-nucleotide ribosomal RNA is filed under the name uncultured eukaryote. Its description in RNAcentral is "partial 18S ribosomal RNA". It matches the Rfam family "Eukaryotic small subunit ribosomal RNA", at positions 1470 to 1796 of the family's 1831-position model. The record is from RNAcentral.
UCCUUAGAUGUCCGGGGCUGCACGCGCGCUACACUGAAGGAAUCAGCGUGCUAAAACCAUUGUCGAAAGGCAUUGGUAAACCCAUUAAAAUCCUACGUGAUUGGGAUCGGGAAUUGCAAUUAUUUCCCUUGAACGAGGAAUUCCCAGUAAGUGUGGGUCAUAAGCUCGCGUUGAUUACGUCCCUGCCCUUUGUACACACCGCCCGUCGCUGCCCGGGACUGAGCCGUUUCGAGAAAAGCGGGGACUGCUGCUGUCGGGGCUUUCGGGCCUUGGCUUCGGUGGAAACCGCUUUAAUCGCAGUGGCUUGAACCGGGCAAAAGUCGUANCA